RNAcentral lists this transfer RNA (71 nucleotides) under Capra hircus (goat). It matches the Rfam family "tRNA". From Rfam's summary of the family: Transfer RNA (tRNA) molecules are approximately 80 nucleotides in length. Their secondary structure includes four short double-helical elements and three loops (D, anti-codon, and T loops). RNAcentral also lists the same sequence under 1 other name. The record is from Rfam by way of RNAcentral. Lineage: Eukaryota; Metazoa; Chordata; Mammalia; Artiodactyla; Bovidae.
UCCUAGGUAGCUCAGCUGAUAAAGAAUCUGCCUUCAAUGCAGGAGAUCUGGGUUCGAUCCUGGGUUGGGAA